GACGAACGCUGGCGGCGUGCUUAACACAUGCGAGUCGAACGGAAAGGCCCCUUUGGGGGUACUCGAGUGGCGAACGGGUGAGUAACACGUGAGUAACCUGCCCUUGACUUCGGGAUAACUUCAGGAAACUGGGGCUAAUACCGGAUAGGAAUCCUUGCUGCAUGGUGGGGGUUGGAAAGCUUCGGCGGUUUUGGAUGGACUCGCGGCUUAUCAGCUUGUUGGCGGGGUAGUGGCUUACCAAGGCUUUGACGGGUAGCCGGCCUGAGAGGGCGACCGGCCACAUUGGGACUGAGAUACGGCCCAGACUCCUACGGGAGGCAGCAGUGGGGAAUAUUGCACAAUGGGCGGAAGCCUGAUGCAGCAACGCCGCGUGCGGGAUGACGGCCUUCGGGUUGUAAACCGCUUUCAGCAGGGGCGAAGCUUGUGGUGACGGUACCUGCAGAAGAAGCACCGGCUAACUACGUG
Molecule: ribosomal RNA, 465 nt
Filed under: uncultured bacterium
Lineage: Bacteria
Description: partial 16S ribosomal RNA
Rfam family: Bacterial small subunit ribosomal RNA
Source: RNAcentral